Xenopus tropicalis (tropical clawed frog) is the source of this 4420-nucleotide long non-coding RNA. RefSeq lists it as uncharacterized. The transcript is spliced from 7 exons. NCBI's taxonomy places the organism in Eukaryota, Metazoa, Chordata, Amphibia, Anura, Pipidae. The record is from RefSeq and is a predicted model, not a curated record.
GUUUUCCAAGAAGUGGGAUUCUCAUACUUUUUAUUAUACUUUCCACUCUCUAUUGCCCAAGCCUAAAGAAAACGUAAAAACCCACAAGUCUUUAUGUUUAGGUGUUUCCAAGGGAUGCGGAAUAACGUCCUCUCCAAAUUCAGCCACAAAACGCCUUCAAAUAUGUUACUGUUAAUCUGCCUGAGAAGCCAUGGGCCAAAGAGCUCUUUAUGCUGCAUCCUGAGGUAAAAGAAGGUAAAAGUAUUUAUAUGAAUAAACUAUACAGCACUUGCAAUGGGACACCUUUUCAUUGUAUGACAGAUAAGUGAAACAGCUAGACUUUAACAGAUAUUUUGUUACUAUUUAUGACACUUAUUUUUGUUAUAUUGUACUUUGGAAUUGUAUACUAAUUGAACACUAGAUGGUGCUGUGUUGCACAGGCUAUAAGGAGAUCACACACACUUGAUUGUUAGCUUGAUAAAGAGCCAAUUAGGCUUGAAACACUACUGUUGCCCACACUGUGAAAAUAAAGGCAUUUUAAUGAAAUGGAGUGCUGCCUACAACCAUUUGGAUUCAAGUAUCCAGGAGCGAAGGGACCCUGGUGGAUAUGAACCCAUUGUUCAAUUUUGCAGCCAAGUGAAUGCUACCUAUUUGGUUUGGGUCUGUCCACACAGGCUCCCCAACACUCCCUAAGGGAAAUGGCAGCAGAGGACAUUUGUCUCCCAGGGGAGCAGUUUGCAUGCAGCAAUGUGGCAUAAACAACAAAGUCAAUUCCUUGUGGUCGUCAAUUUUCCUCAUUUGCCAUUGUCCUAAGCUGCAGCAAUGGGGCAGCUCAUUUUCAGGGGGCUUUUCUGUGGACUGGUAUUUAGUUUUAUCAUCUACUCCUCUGCUUGGCAGAGCAGGAAGUGCUGAAGUGAAGCUACAUAUUCUUGAUAUUUCUGAAUUAAAACUAUAGGCAAAAAGUAUGUUCAGAACAAGCCGUAUUCAUUGAGCUCAUGUUAAAACGAGGCGUAUACUGUCCCUUUAAAGGUGAUCUACACCUUUAAAGUACUUAUUUAACAUUUAAAUCAUGCAAAGAGAUUGCCUGCAUGCUUCUUAUGGGGGUAUAUACAGAAUAUAAUGUGUGUCUCUUGAAGAGAAAUAGAGACACAUUGUAAACACUCAAUGUCUAAAAUGGAAUGAUUCUUAGCUAGGGAAGGCAUUCAGUGUAUCUUCAGAUUAUAUCAUUGUUAAAGGCACAUUGUUGUCAUCACGGGCUACGGGUUUCAAAUAAUUUAUCCAUUGCAUCUACACCCAGAUAAAUUCAUAAAAAAGGAAGAAGGACCAGCCUGCUAAAUUCAGAAAUAGGUAUUUCAUGACUAAUGGGAUAUUUUCUCUCAUCUAGAAAGAAGAAAGAGGUAUGCAAGACUGUCCAGUGCUGUCCUUCUGUGAUUUAUGGUGGCUGCCUCCAUAGGAUUGACAUGUUUAGUCUGCGUAGGAAUGAAAGAACUCAGCUGAGAGUGCCACAGGAGUUCAUCCCAUGGAUUGCAGGAGGAGGGCAAGGAGGACAAUUGAGGUCAUGAUGCCCACAGGACAAAAAGCAGCGUCUUCUCAAGGGCAGCAGUGGGAUACAUGAAAUCAUCGCUGUGUAACUCACCCAUGGGUACCCAGUAAGCACCACCGCCUCAAAUAUCAUGCUUAUUGGUUUCCGGCUGACCUCCCAGCUACUAUUCUGGUCCCCACUGGGGGCAGCUCUACAGAAUAUGAACCACACUGGGAAGGUGUUUUGUCAAGGAAAAAAGUAUGUUCAGCCCAAUUCCUAUUUAUUGAGUUCAUCCUGAAAAGAAGAUUUACAAGCUCUUUAAGAUGAAGACAGUGGGCUAAUGAAUGACAUGGAGAGUCUACAUAUGAUCUUGAUUUCCUGAUGCUGGAAGAAUGGAACGGGCACUACCCAAAACUGACCGCACUGCUCUGAAGACCUAGACUGAGAUAGAAUUUCGUUUUGGGGCAUGUGCAUAUGGUUGUUGUCGUGAGCGCUCUUGUCCCCUCUUUGAUGCUUGUCCACUGGGUAAAAAAAGGCAUAUGCACAACUGAGGGAAAGUUUGCACAUGCACAACUGAGGGAAAGUUUGCACAUGCACAGAUAAACAACAAGGGCACGCAGGGUGACGUGAUCCAGGAAAAAAUGGCAGACGCAAUCUCCUAAUGGAGCUAAUACAUAAAAGGAAUGAUUAUUCACUUUCAAGAUGGGUUUUUUUGCAAAAAAAAAGGUAGCAAUCUGGUUGAGGGGAAUAUGACUAAUGAAAGAAGCCACUUUUUAAAAAUAGCCUUUCCUUUCCCUUUAAUCCACAUUCUUGCAAUACACUGCCAAACUCGCACAUUCAUUAUCAUGAGCAUAACAUUACUGCCUUAAAUUAUUUUUCAUUAUGUAUUUAGUGCCAGAAAUGCCACUCUUCAGUAUAGUCACAAUGGGAAUAAUACAGUGGCCUUUCCCCACCAACUUUCCUAUAUAAAACUCUCAGGCAUUUGCGCUCUGUUCUUGUUGGGUCCAGUUUGCAGUUCCAGUCGGGCAUGUUCUGUCCACUUCCCAACCAGUUCUUAAUCACUUACUGAACCCCUUAGUUUGAUUCUACCUGUGUAGCAUAAAUGGGACCCCUGUUUGAUCACACCACACCCAGUUAUAGCCAACAUGUCAUGAUUGCCCCUCCUCACUCCUCUUCCCUAGUUCCUCUUACAUCCACCCUCCUUCCACAAACCAUUUUCCUUUUACCUCCAUUUUGCUCUUGGUUUCACCUUAUUCCCUUUCCUUUCCACUUUUUCAGAAUGCUCCCACUCCAUAACCAAAGACUGCCAGGAUGGGAGAUUAAUGUAAAAUUUCCUGAUAUGGGUAAUAUAUAAAGGAAAAGUAAACCUUGAAAUAAACUGUAAAAUUGCUUGGGGUGCUUUUCUAAGCAUUUUUGCAAUUUAUAUUACAUUAACUCAUUUGGCAAAAACCAGAGGGGCUGCUGUAAGAUUUCAUAGACAGUGGGGGGCAAGCUGUUUGGGCCUCCGUGUACUUGAAAUGCUAGUGUCUAUAUUAAAUCCCAGUCUAGACCCGAUGGGUCCUUAAAUAAAAAGCAUUAUAUCUUUGGCUGUGUUUCCAGGUUCCAUGGUGGUCAUCUGCAGCCAGGAUCAUCUGCAUUGUGCCAGGUCCAUUUGUUAACUUCCACUGAUCAGUGCUGUGGAACCUAGAAAUAAAAGUAAUGCAGCCAAACAUGUAGGCCUGGACUGGUAUUCAAAAUAGGCCCUUGCUUUUCAAGUACACAGAGACCCAAACAGCCCACUAAAUCUUACAGCAACCCUCUGGUAUUUGCAAGCAGUGGCAUAACUAGACUAAGCUGGCAAACCACCCCCACGAAAGAAUUUUCGUAGGGGCACGGCACUGAAAGGGAGCACACUCUUUAACCCCUACUGGCCCCCUACUUUUCGCCUGCUCAUUCGCUAGCUGGCAUCCUUGGCUUCCUGCCAGUCACGGUACUGCAGGGGAUGGCGGAUAGAGGAAGCAGGUCCUAUUGGUCUGGGCCCCCUGUCCCCUGGGUCUCCCAGUGAUCGUGGGGCCUGCUUCCUCUGUAUUUGUGCCACUGUUUGCCAGAAUCCACAGAUUGCCAGUCCAGGCCUGCAUAGAUGGUGGGAACCAGCAGAGUGCACUGGACCCUAAAGCUAACAGUCCCGGGGUUUAAUUCUCCGGGUAAACUUUGAAUUGUAUGUCCUCUGCCCAUUUUAGUAAGCCACUAGGUUAGACAUCUGUGAUGUAUAUAUGAAGGAUGUCGAACAAUUAAAUAUUAUGGUGCCCCUAUUAUGUUGAGACUUUUUUUAGGUGCAGGGAAAAUACCUUCUCUGCUCUACAGUUGUUAUAUUAAAAUGAUGGUGCUAUCCAAAGAACUCUAUGGACCCCUUGAGCAAACUAGGGGCUGUAAUAAUGCAUUCAGCCUGUGGUCCUCCAGUUGGACAGCCCUCUGUUAGAUACAUAAGCAUGAUUAGCAUUAAGUGCAUACUCUAAUAGCAAGAAAUAACAAUACUGCGAGAGUGAACUGUUUUUGUGCUGGCGAGCUCCCAAACUGGCAUAAACCCAGGAUAUUGAUCUUCCUUCUACUUAGUUGUUAUUGCAAAUACAAUGCUCUUUUUUAUACAAACAAAGGCACUGAGCUCAGUUAUAUAAAAUUAAAAUUCCAAUAUCAUACUUCUUUAUCCAUUACAAACUAGUUGAAAGCAAAAGGAAAAUUCAGUUCUCACAAGUCACCUGUUUCCUAAAGUUCUAUAAAGCACCAUUAUAGUCAGCAGGCAACCCCCUUUGUUUUUUGUCACCUAAAGUGCCAGACCUGAUCCACGCUCACUCCAAGGGUCGUAUGUUGCCUACCCUCCUAAACUGCAGAAAAGAAAUGUGCUGUGUAUUCCAUAAGCUGUUGUUUCACAAGGAAAUCAAA